Molecule: long non-coding RNA, 1107 nt
Organism: Scylla paramamosain (green mud crab)
Lineage: Eukaryota; Metazoa; Arthropoda; Malacostraca; Decapoda; Portunidae
Exons: 7
Source: RefSeq, a predicted model, not a curated record
UUAUUAUUUAUCAUUACUAUUAUUAUUAUUAUUAUUAUUAUUCGGCGCCAUAUUAUGAUGUGGCGCCAAGCAAGAAAAUUUGUAAUCGCAGCAUCAUCACCUUUUAUCUCUGUAUUUCCGAGUGGCGAGGUUACGAAAUGAGGCCGAGUGAACCUGAGAAUGAGGCUUCGGAUGGCUCACGCAUUACACUCUUCCCUCCGCCGCCAGUCACCACCAGGCCGUGCGUCCGUGCAGGGAGGCGUUGCGUGUGUGAUCCUCCAGCGGCGGCCCGGCAAACAGGGGAGCGAGGGAACGACUGGGAAAGUGGCUGCCAAGGCUUACCCAUGAGUUAAACCUUCUUUAGUUGGUAAUGAAGAAGGCGUGGGCUCUAGCAGUGGACACCCGAAGGCAGCAGUGGGUGAAAACAAGCAAAAUAAAGAAAAGUUUGGCUAUGAGAAGGUGCUAGACAGCCAGCCAUAGUGACAAGGAGGCAGGAACAUCACCAUCACCACCACAGGGAAGCCACAAGCCCUCCUAGCCGUGACGUCAUCAGAGUGGUACCUUCCCUAACUCCCUUCCAGUCCCUCCCGUGAGAGAUGGGGAGGAGGAUUUAAGAGGACAUGUUUGCAGUGCGCUGUCAGCCCUCACCUGCGCCGCCUCCCCCAGUGAGCGGGUGUAGGCCUGGGAAUAGAACAUAUGCAGACGUCUUGGCAGUGCUGUGUAUGUCUGUUUGUCGAUGGUCAAGAAGGAACGUAGCAAAAGUUUAAGGAGUGAAUGAGGCGGGAUGAGUCGCCCCUCUGAUGGGUACUUUGGCCGAGGGUCACGCCGCAUGGUCAGUGAGGUACGGCCAGCAUUAUGGUGACUCCUAUGGCGGCGGCAGAUGGGUAACAGUAGUGGUGGGUGAACCGCUCGACUUCAGGACAGAGGUGGAAGAGAUGUGGAGAAGGAAUGAAGAUCCAGCCAGUGCUCAUCCCCACAUCACUGACUGCAUUCAGGAGUUGGGCCACCUGAGGGAGCGUGCUGAGGAGUUCCAUGCAAAGUUGAUGGCUGAGAUGGGAGAAAUAUGGAGGCCUGCAGUGCAUGGCAGAAAGGAAGAUUGUGUGUGAGGUUUUGUAUUAAUCCAUAUUG